CCUCUUUGACAUGCUGCUAAGAGGAAGGAAGACAGCUCCUGUGUGGACUCAGAAGACGCAACUGGUGUGGGACACUAUUUCCCACAGAACGGCAAUCUAUCUGUGGAGGUGAAGGCGUGGUCGAAAAUUUGCAUACGAAUCCAGUGCCGAAAUAGAAUCUGUCCAUUUGUCCCAGGGCUUGAACCUUGGUUCACAGAAUGAGAGUGCGAGAGUGUAAGAUGUCAACUCAAACUCUCAAGGUGUCACAGCGGAUGAUGUUUGCCAACGUACUCUUGCACGGCCACACCUGCUGGCCUCCCUAAAACUGGGAGUUGUGAGUUCAAACCCCGGCCGAGUCAUACCAAAGACUACAAAAAAUGCGAACCAUUGCCUCCCUGCUUGGCACUCAGCAUCAAAGGUUGGAAUUGGGGGCUAAAUCACCAAAUGAUUCCCGAGCGUGGCGCACGCUGCUGCUCACUGCUCUCCUCACCCCCCAGGGGGUGAACAUGUGGAUUGGUCAAAUGCAGAGGACAGAUCUCACUACACCCAGUGUGUGUGUGUGACAAUCGUUGGGACUUUAACUUUAACUUGAAUUUUUGUGUUAAAAGGGACCCAAUAGUGAUUUUAUGAUGACUUUGUGGUCCAGAUAGUUGUGGUGUAUAUUUUGCUCCAAACUCCCUUUUACGACCGGUUUUGGAAUUGGUCUGCAAGAUCUUCCCAGAUUGCAAAUGAAACCAAUCCCAAAAAGUACUUAUCUUUUGCAAAAGUACACUGUUUAAAUAUAUGUAUCGGCGUCGUCACGACGAUUUUUUUUCAAUACACAGUUGAAAAUACUUCCACCUCGCGGUAACAUCACGGUGUAGCCAGACCGCAAAGCCCAGACAACAGAGCCGUCCAAAAUUGCGUGCAAGCUCACGCCAAAAUACAUGAACGGCCACGCCCUGAUAGUGUUUUGUACUCAUGGUUGCUUUUUGUCUGUGUUUUAUUUGUUUAGUUCCUUGUGCACAGGCAUCCACACCUGCUGCCUGAUUGGCAACCGAGACACACCUGCCCCCGGUUGCCAAUCAGUCUCCUAUUUUUGUCCGGUUGAUUGCCAUUUGCACCUCUCUGCUCUGCCAAUGUGCAUUGCUUUGCUUCCUGGACAAGUGAUGUUGCGUCUCUUGCGCAAUCCCGUUUGCACUGGACUUCUUUUUUUUUUUUUUUACCUUUUUCCGAGGCGCGUGUUUUCCACUUCCUUGUGAGUGCGCU
Entelurus aequoreus (snake pipefish) is the source of this 1227-nucleotide long non-coding RNA. RefSeq lists it as uncharacterized. The record is from RefSeq and is a predicted model, not a curated record. The transcript is spliced from 3 exons. NCBI's taxonomy places the organism in Eukaryota, Metazoa, Chordata, Actinopteri, Syngnathiformes, Syngnathidae.